UUUCUUUUCCUUUUCCUUUCCCCUUUUUUCCUCUUUCCUUCUUUAGAUUUCUAUCACAGUUUCCGUUACUCACUCAUUCGAUUCGUUAUAACCUCUAACUUGCUUCUCCAUACGGAUUACGGAAUCUCUUCUUUUCUUCGCUUUCUUUUUUUUUUGUUAAACUCAAAUCGAUUUCAUUUGCUUCUUCACUGCUCUCUGCAAAAAUUAUUUGCGCUUAUGUCUACUAGGAGCCGAGCUUGUGUUCUAUUUUGGUUGAAUAUUGUAAGAUAGAGAUGGGUUUUGUAUAUUUUGUUGUGAAAAAUUGGUGAGCAUAGUAAUAAUAAUGUUUUCUGAAAGAUUGGGGGCAAACGAAACUCGUUGUCAACAAGAUUUCCACGGUUUGAGUGUGUCGAAGCGUCUUGUGAGGAGUGUCAGCCAGAAGUUGAGGAAGAAGAAUAACAGAAGUUCAGAGGAAGAUGAUGAUGAUGAUGUUAAUGGAGUUUCUUUGAAAUGCUUAACUUUGUAUGGUAGGGGUGGGGGAUGCAAGGUAGGUGCUUACAUUAGUGAUGAAUUUGGGGAUUCCAGCAAUAGAAGGAGAUCUAGUUCCGGUGAAGAAGGCAAAGGAUAUAAACCGGUUUGUGGCCCGCAAGAUAGUGCUGUUGUAGACUGCUUCUCGUAUGGUGUGAGGGAUAGGUUUUGGAGGAGACACCAUAGAAAGAAUUCUGAACUUGAUGAAUUGAUAAUAACAAAUAAUAAAAUGCAUAUAUUUCUUCCAGAUGAUAUUCUUGAAAUGUGUUUGGUUAGGCUUCCGUUGACCAGUUUGAUGAAUGCACGUCUUGUUUGCAAAAAAUGGAGGUCCUUGACCACCACACCUAGAUUCCUCCAAAUGAGAAGGGAGGGUUUGUAUCAAAAUCCAUGGUUGUUUCUGUUUGGUGCUGUUAAAGACGGCUUUUGCUCUGGUGAGAUACACGCAUUGGAUGUGUCUCAAAAUCAAUGGCAUAGGAUCGAUUCUAGUUUUCUUAGAGGCAGGUUUUUGUUCUCUGUUGCUGGUGUACAAGAUGAUAUCUUCAUUGUUGGAGGAUGUUCUAGCUUGACUAACUUUGGGAAAGUGGAUAGGAGCUCAUUCAAGACGCACAGAGGAGUGCUUUCAUUUAGCCCCUUGACAAAAUCUUGGCGCAAAAUACCAUCUAUGAAAUAUGGUAGAUCACUUCCUAUAUUGGGAGUUUUUGAAGUCAGUUUGGAUUUUCCAAGUUGUCAAAGUCAUCAAAGUCGGCAGGACAGACGUUUUCCGAGAUCAAGAAUUGGUGGGGUUUCAGACGUCUAUGAGGAUCCUCAUAAGCUUUCAAUGAGACGUCAUUGCAGAUCUACCUUUAAUGAGACUGAAGCUUCGUCUUUGCCUAGUAGAAAGGCACACAAGUUCCUGAGACAAAAAAGUGAUCUUUCAAGCUCAAAGAGUAGUGGUAGAAGAUUUUUGUUGAUAGCUGUAGGGGGUCUGGGAUCUUGGGAUGACCCUUUGGACUCUGGAGAAAUAUAUGAUUCUGUAUCCAAUAAAUGGACUGAAAUCCCAAGAUUGCCUUUUGAUUUUGGGGUUGCUUGUUCUGGAGUUGUAUGUGGCAAAAUGUUUUAUGUUUAUUCUGAAACGGACAAGCUUGCAGCAUAUGAUGUAGAACGAGGUUUCUGGAUUACAAUUCAAGCCACUCCGAUCCCACCUCGUGUACAUGAAUACUACCCCAAACUUGUAUCUUCAAAUGGCCGUCUGUUUAUGCUCUCUGUGUCUUGGUGCGAAGGUGAUGGUCAAAUUGGGAGGCGAAACAAGGCUGUUAGAAAAUUAUGGGAGUUAGAUCUCAUGUAUCUUACAUGGACUGAAGUCUCAGUGCAUCCUGAUGCCCCAAUGGACUGGAAUGCUGUAUUUGUGGCUGACAAAAACAUGAUUUUUGGAGUAGAGAUGUUCAAAAUAUUUGGUCAGGUGUUGGAUUUUUUCACUGUAUGUGAUGUGUCUGAUAUGGCAAACUGGAACCAUAUUUCAAGGAACCAUGUAACUCAUGAGCUGGACGGUUCAUCGUGUGCAACCAAAUCGGUGGCAGUGCUGCACCUUUGAACUCUUAUGCACAUGUAUGCAGAACAACAGAAUCCCAAAUAUUCUCUGUAUGUUGUUGUUUUGAGAUGCAACAUGAUCGGUAAUUUGGAAUAUUUGGAAUUAUUUGGAGGGGGAGAAAAGGGGAGGAGACCAAAAUCUUGAGUUAAUUUUAGUUUUCCUCCAACAGUAGAGGGAUUUGAAGAUGACAGAAGAUGUAUUUAACUUUUUUAUAUAGAUAGACUUAAAUACGUUUUUAUUAAAUGUGAUAUUGAAUAUUAUAAAGUAUAAAAUGUAAAUUUAUCUUUUAUCUAUAUUAAAAUAUCUCUUCUCGGCUUCUCUAAUCGAAUACAACACCUUGGUUCAGAAAAAUAAAAUAAAUCAAACACGAAUGAAUUGUAUUGUAAACAAAUUAAUUAGAGAAGAAAGGGAAAAUGGCAGUCAAUAGAGUAAGGCUAUAUGUGAACCAGCGAGAGGUAGAGCAAAUGGAAAAUAAACGAAACUACAAAGAAGAAAGAAAUUCAAGGAUGAUUUUAAGAAGAAAGUGGAGAAGCUCAACACUAGAAGGAACAAGAAGCUCAACAUUGUGAAAGGAGAUGAACAUGGAAGGGCAAUGAGCAUAAAAAUAAUAGUCCUAUAGUUAUAGUUUUUUUUUGUUGAAGAAACGGUCUUAUUAUAUUCAAGUAUAUGAAAUGAAUAAAUUUCAUUGGUUGUAAAUAUUAAA
Molecule: non-coding RNA, 2777 nt
Organism: Cicer arietinum (chickpea)
Lineage: Eukaryota; Viridiplantae; Streptophyta; Magnoliopsida; Fabales; Fabaceae
Source: RefSeq, a predicted model, not a curated record